GACGAACGCUGGCGGCGUGCCUAACACAUGCAAGUCGAGCGGACGGAUGGGAGUUUGCUCCCAGACCGUCAGCGGCGGACGGGUGAGUAACACGUGGGCAACCUGCCUGUAAGACUGGGAUAACUCCGGGAAACCGGGGCCAAUACCGGAUAACUCUUUCCCUCAUAUGAGGGAAAGCUGAAAGAUGGCAUCUCGCUAUCACUUACAGAUGGGCCUGCGGCGCAUUAGCUAGUUGGUGAGGUAACGGCUCACCAAGGCGACGAUGCGUAGCCGACCUGAGAGGGUGAUCGGCCACACUGGGACUGAGACACGGCCCAGACUCCUACGGGAGGCAGCAGUAGGGAAUCUUGCGCAAUGGGCGAAAGUCUGACGGAGCAACGCCGCGUGGGUGAUGAAGGUUUUCGGAUCGUAAAACUCUGUUGUCAGGGAAGAACGAGUACCGGAGUAACUGCCGGUGCCUUGACGGUACCUGACCAGAAAGCCACGGCUAACUACGUG
This 498-nucleotide ribosomal RNA is filed under the name uncultured bacterium. RNAcentral describes it as "partial 16S ribosomal RNA". It matches the Rfam family "Bacterial small subunit ribosomal RNA", at positions 28 to 507 of the family's 1533-position model. The record is from RNAcentral.